RNAcentral lists this ribosomal RNA (466 nucleotides) under uncultured bacterium. Its description in RNAcentral is "bacterial SSU rRNA". It matches the Rfam family "Bacterial small subunit ribosomal RNA", at positions 30 to 507 of the family's 1533-position model. The record is from RNAcentral.
AUUGAACGCUGGCGGCAUGCCUUACACAUGCAAGUCGAACGGCAGCACGGGUGCUUGCACCUGGUGGCGAGUGGCGAACGGGUGAGUAAUACAUCGGAACGUACCUUAUCGUGGGGGAUAACGUAGCGAAAGUUACGCUAAUACCGCAUACGAUCUACGGAUGAAAGCGGGGGAUCGCAAGACCUCGCGCGAUUGGAGCGGCCGAUAUCAGAUUAGGUAGUUGGUGGGGUAAAGGCUCACCAAGCCAACGAUCUGUAGCUGGUCUGAGAGGACGACCAGCCACACUGGAACUGAGACACGGACCCGACUCCUACGGGAGGCAGCAGUAAGGAAUAUUGGACAAUGGUCGAAAGACUGAUCCAGCCAUCCCGCGUGCAGGAUGACUGCCCUAUGGGUUGUAAACUGCUUUUAUAUGGGAAGAAUAUUUUGUAGCGUACCGAGAGAAUAAGAGGUUGCUAACUCUGUG